UGGUCAAGUUAUUAAGGGUGCAGGGCGGAUGCCUUGGCACUAGGAGCCGAUGAAGGACGUGAUAAGCUGCGAUAAGCUUCGGGGAGUUGCACGUAAACUUUGAUCCGAAGAUUUCCGAAUGAGGAAACUCACUUAGAGUAAUGUCUAAGUAUCAUUAAGUGAAUACAUAGCUUAAUGAGGGGAACUCAGGGAACUGAAACAUCUAAGUACCUGAAGGAAGAGAAAGAAAUUCGAUUCCGUAAGUAGCGGCGAGCGAACGCGGAUUAGCCCAAACCAAUAAAGUUUUCUUUAUUGGGGUUGCGGACAUAUCAUAACGAAGAGGUAUCGUAAUUGAAGAGGUUUGGAAAGACCCACCACAGAAGGUAAUAGUCCUGUAUGUUAAACGAGAAGACUUUAGAUAUGAUCCAGAGUACCACGGGACACGUGAAACCCUGUGGGAAGCAGGAGGGACCACCCUCCAAGGCUAAAUACUACCUAGUGACCGAUAGCGUAUAGUACCGUGAGGGAAAGGUGAAAAGAACCCCGGGAGGGGAGUGAAAUAGAACCUGAAACCCUGCACUUACAAGCUGUGGAAGCACAUUUCUUGUGUGACCGCGUACUUUUUGUAGAACGGGCCAACGAGUUACGUUAAGUAGCAAGGUUAAGCACUUAAGGUGCGGAGCCGUAGCGAAAGCGAGUUUUAACUGAGCGUUCAGUUACUUGACGUAGACCCGAAACCGGGCGACCUACCCAUGAGCAGGAUGAAGCGAAAGUAAAAUUUCGUGGAGGUCCGAACCCACGAGCGUUGAAAAGCUCGGGGAUGACUUGUGGGUAGCGGUGAAAUUCCAAUCGAGCCCGGAGAUAGCUGGUUCUCCCCGAAAUAGCUUUAGGGCUAGCCUCAAGGUGAGAGAUACGGAGGUAGAGCACUGAAUGUCCUAGGGGGUAUUGCACCUACCGAAGACUAUCAAACUCCGAAUGCCGUCAUCUUAUACUUGGGAGUCAGACUGUGGGUGAUAAGAUUCAUAGUCGAAAGGGCAACAGCCCAGAUCGUCAGCUAAGGUCCCUAAAUGUAAGUUAAGUGGUAAAGGAUGUGGGAUUGCACAGACAACCAGGAUGUUGGCUUAGAAGCAGCCACUCAUUCAAAGAGUGCGUAAUAGCUCACUGGUCGAGUGAUCCUGCGCCGAAGAUUUCCGGGGCUAAAACUUACUACCGAAGCUACGGCAUCAGUAAUGAUGGGUAGGGGAGCUUCCCAUACGGGUUGAAGCAUGACCGUAAGGACAUGUGGACAGUAUGGGAGUGAGAAUGUUGGCAUGAGUAGCGAGAUGUGGGUGAGAAUCCCACAGGCCGUAAACCCAAGGUUUCCAGGGGAAGGUUCGUCCGCCCUGGGUUAGUCGGGACCUAAGCUGAGGCCGAAAGGCGUAGGUGAUGGACAACAGGUUGAUAUUCCUGUACUACCGAUAACCGUUUGAGAGAAGGGAUGACACAGUAGGAUAAGCUAAGCACACUGUUGGUUAUGUGUGCCCAAGCAUUGAGGCAGUCAAAGUAGGCAAAUCCGCUUUGAUAAUGCUGGGAUGUGAUGGGGAGCGAAAUUUAGUAGCGAAGUAGCUGAUUUCACACUGUCAAGAAAAGUCUCUAUCGAGGUUAAAGGUACCCGUACCGCAAACCGACACAGGUGGGUGAGGAGAGUAUCCUAAGGCCAGCGAGAGAACUGUUGUUAAGGAACUCGGCAAAAUGACCCCGUAACUUAGGGAUAAGGGGUGCCACCAUCAGGUGGCCGCAGAGAAUAGGCCCAAGCGACUGUUUACCAAAAACAUAGGUUUCUGCUAAGUCGCAAGACGAUGUAUAGGAGCUGACGCCUGCCCGGUGCUGGAAGGUUAAGGGGAUCUGUUAGAGCAAUCGAAGCAGUGAACUUAAGCCCCAGUAAACGGCGGCCGUAACUAUAACGGUCCUAAGGUAGCGAAAUUCCUUGUCGGGUAAGUUCCGACCCGCACGAAAGGCGUAACGAUUUGGGCACUGUCUCAACAACAGACUCGGUGAAAUUGUAAUUCCGGUGAAGAUGCCGGAUACCUGCGACAGGACGGAAAGACCCCAUGGAGCUUUACUGUAGCUUGACAUUGGGUCUUGGUACUACAUGUACAGGAUAGGUGGGAGGCUUUGAAACCAGGACGCCAGUUUUGGCGGAGCCAUCCUUGGGAUACCACCCUUGUAGUACUGGGACUCUAACCAUAGGCCAUGAAUCUGGUCUUGGGACACUGUCAGGUGGGCAGUUUGACUGGGGCGGUCGCCUCCCAAAAGGUAACGGAGGCGCUCAAAGGUUCUCUCAGUACGGUCGGAAAUCGUACGUAGAGUGUAAAGGCAAAAGAGAGCUUGAUUGCAAGACAUACAGGUCGAGCAAGGAUGAAAAUCGGACUUAGUGAUCCGGUGGUUCUGCGUGGAAGGGCCAUCGCUCAACGGAUAAAAGCUACCCUGGGGAUAACAGGCUUAUCUCCCCCAAGAGUCCACAUCGACGGGGAGGUUUGGCACCUCGAUGUCGGCUCAUCACAUCCUGGGGCUGUAGUAGGUCCCAAGGGUUGGGCUGUUCGCCCAUUAAAGUGGUACGCGAGCUGGGUUCAGAACGUCGUGAGACAGUUCGGUCCCUAUCCGUCGCAGGCGUAGGAAAUUUGAGAAGACCUGUCCUUAGUACGAGAGGACCGGGAUGGACGUACCUCUGGUGUACCAGUGUCCUGCCAAGGGCAUUGGCUGGGUAGCUAUGGUACGGAAUGGACUAGCGCUGAAAGCAUCUAAGCGCGAAGCCAACUUCAAGAUAAGAUUUCCCACCGCAAGGGUAAGACCCCAGAAAGACUAAUCUGGUUGAUAGGUCGAAGGUGUUAAGUGCAGCAAUUGUACUUAGCUUAUCGAUACUAAUAGGUCGAGGACUUGACCAAUU
RNAcentral lists this ribosomal RNA (2905 nucleotides) under Clostridioides difficile. Its description in RNAcentral is "bacterial LSU rRNA". It matches the Rfam family "Bacterial large subunit ribosomal RNA". Lineage: Bacteria; Bacillati; Bacillota; Clostridia; Peptostreptococcales; Peptostreptococcaceae. The record is from RNAcentral.